RNAcentral lists this ribosomal RNA (1964 nucleotides) under human gut metagenome. RNAcentral's name for it is "bacterial LSU rRNA". It matches the Rfam family "Bacterial large subunit ribosomal RNA", at positions 486 to 2471 of the family's 2925-position model. The record is from RNAcentral.
GAUAGUGAACCAGUACCGUGAGGGAAAGGUGAAAAGAACCCCGAACAGGGGAGUGAAAUAGAACCUGAAACCAUACGCUUACAACCUGUCGGAGCAGCUUCGUGCUGUGACGGCGUGCCUAUUGAAUAAUGAGCCUACGAGUUACUAAUCACUGGCGAGGUUAAGUGCACGGAUGCACGGAGCCGAAGCGAAAGCGAGUCUUAAUAGGGCGUUUAGUCAGUGGUUGUAGACGCGAAACCUUGCGAUCUACCCUUGAGCAGGUUGAAGGUUGGGUAAAACCAACUGGAGGACCGAACGAAUAAGCGUUGAAAAGCUUCUCGAUGACUUGAGGGUAGGGGUGAAAGGCUAAUCAAGCUGGGAAAUAGCUCGUACUCCCCGAAAUGCCUUUAGGGGCAGCGUUGUAAUUGAGAGUCUACUGGAGGUAGAGCUACUGAUUGGAUGCGGGGGCUUCACCGCCUACCAAAUCCUGACAAACUCCGAAUGCCAGUAGUAUGAUUUACAGCAGUGAGCGACCGGGUGCUAAUGUCCGGUCACAAAAGAGGAACAACUCAGACCAGCAACUAAGGUCCCCAAGAGUAUGCUAAGUUGAUCUAACGAUGUUUUGUUGCAGAGACAGCUAGGAUGUUAGCUUGGAAGCAGCUAUUCAUUCAAAGAGUGCGUAACAGCUCACUAGUCGAGCGACAAAGCGUGGAUAAUAAACGGGCAUCAAGUAUACCACCGAAGUUCUGGGCACGAAAGUGCGGUAGGGGAGCAUUCCAUUCUGCGUCGAAGCCGAAUCGUGAGAUUUGGUGGAGCGUAUGGAAAAGCAAAUGUAGGCAUGAGUAACGAUAAUGCGGGAGAGUAACCCGCACACCGCAAGACCAAGGUUUCCUGAUCAACGCUAAUCGGAUCAGGGUUAGUCGGGUCCUAAGGGUAAGCCGAACGGUGAUCUCGAUGGAUAAUCGGUUAAUAUUCCGAUACUGACAUAUACCUCGAUGGAGAGACGAAGGAACGUAAGUGCCGCCGCCUGACGGAAUAGGUGGUUAAAGGGCGUAGGUAUAGGGACAGAUUAAGAGUUAGUCCUUGCUGAAACCCGACAGUACAGAGAGCCUACGGGCAAUUUGAUAGUGCACCCAAGUCGACUUCCGAGAAAAUCUUCUAAGUUAUAGUAUAUGUCACCCGUACCGUAAACCGACACAGGUGGUCGAGGAGAGUAUCCUAAGGUGCUCGAGUGAAUCACGGUUAAGGAACUAGGCAAAUUAACCCCGUAACUUCGGGAAAAGGGGUCCCACCGCGAGGUGGGCGCAGCGAAGAGGUCCAGGCGACUGUUUAUCAAAAACACAGGGCUCUGCAAAUUCGAAAGAAGACGUAUAGGGCCUGACACCUGCCCGGUGCUGGAAGGUUAAGAGGGGAUGUCAUCGCAAGAGAAGCAUUGAAUCGAAGCCCCAGUAAACGGCGGCCGUAACUAUAACGGUCCUAAGGUAGCGAAAUUCCUUGUCGGGUAAGUUCCGACCUGCACGAAUGGUGUAACGAUCUGGACACUGUCUCAACCGUGAGCUCGGUGAAAUUGUAGUCCCGGUGAUGAUGCCGGGUACCCGCAACGGGACGAAAAGACCCCGUGAACCUUUACUAUAGCUUAACGCUGAAUUUGGGUACACAAUGUGUAGGAUAGGCAGGAGACUAUGAAGCGGGUACGCCAGUAUUCGUGGAGUCAACGUUGAAAUACUGCCCUUUGUGUAUUUGAGUUCUAACCCUCAAGAGGGGACACCGUUUGGUGGGUAGUUUGACUGGGGUGGUCGCCUCCAAAAGAGUAACGGAGGCUUCCCAAGGUACCCUCAGCACGAAUGGUAACCGUGCGUAGAGUGCAAUAGCAUAAGGGUGCUUGACUGUGAGACCAACAAGUCGAUCAGGUGCGAAAGCAGGGUAUAGUGAUCCGGUGGUUCUGCGUGGACUGGCCAUCGCUCAAAGGAUAAAAGGUACUCCGG